UUAUUUAACAGUGGCUGUCGGUUUUAGGCAGGAGAGUGCGAUAUUGGAUAUUGGAUAUUGGAUAUUGGAUAUUGGAAUAGAAAAGAAAAAGGCGGCCAAGCAAGAGAGACUCCGUCGCCGCGAACUACGGUGACGCGGCUCUCAUUCAGCUCCAACCGAUGAAGAUCGCCGACGUCAAGGACUGGACGGAGGUCGGAGCUCUGACGGAGGCGUUGAAGGACCAGAAGGUUCUGAUACGCGGCCGCACGCAGACGAUCCGAGCCUUGAGAAAGGUGGCGUUUAUUGUGGUCAGAAAGAAGGGGUUCACGGUUACCCGAAGGAAGAAUAAAACGAGGUGCAGAAUAAGUCUACUGCAGUAGUAAAAACCAUAACCAAUCUACUCCCAAGUUACAGGAUUGGCCCUUACCCGAUGACAGAAUUUCCAUCACCUGAAGCUUUGUAACAUCAGAUUCCAGUGGGUUUGGACAAGGAACAGAUUUUUGGUAUGGCAGAGAAGGAGAUGGACUAGAGGGUUGAGUUGUUCAACAAACAGGAAGCCCUCAUUAUUAUUAUAAUUUGGACAAUCAUAUCCAUCUGUUCAAGGGAAGUAGCGCAAGGUGGAGAGAUUCCUCCUGAGAUCGGAAAGAUGAGCAGCUUGGAAGUUUUUGUUGGAUCUUUUGGAUUGCUUGCUUUUGGUUCAGACAGUUUUGUGAUUUGUGGGUUAUAGUUUGAAAAGGUACUGUAAUCGGUUUUCCAGGUUUCAUGCUUUGUGCAGGAUCACAACUUCUGGACCUUCAUAGUGUGAGUUCAUAUCUACAGAACUAACAGAAGAGUAUUUCUGUUUUCAGGGAAACUGGACUUUGGAACAUGCAAAGCUCAAAGCUAGGGUGUUUUACAGAGAAAUCAAAGUCAUUUUAUUGGGGGAGGACCUCCUAUCGUUAAGUAUGAAAGAGCUUCAGAAUUUGGAGCAGCAACUUGAUUCUGCUCUAAAACACUAGAUUGCUUAAUUGGGAAUUGUUUGAAAUGCUGGCUGGAAAGUGAAAUCACCAGAACUUGGAGCUGUCAUCAUUGGUGGUUUUAUAGGACUGAAAUUUUGGUACACUUCCUGAGACAGAACUAAGUUCUCCACCUCGAGUUCCCUCUAUCUUGGGAUUGCAGUUGGUGAUGGCUUCCGUUACUGUAAUUGACAAUGCUAACUCCCGCAGCAAAGCGCGGCAACUACUACUAGUUGCAUCUAAUUAAAGAAGCAGAGGUCACUUCUCAAGAAGCCACGAGGCUUGGCGGUGGAGAUAUGUCUAAAAUAUGCAGAUAGCUUCACACAUAUGUUUGUCAAAGUCAAAUAUAAUUGAACACAUUUGCUGCAAGUCAAAGCAACAUAAAUAAUGAUUUGUUAAAUGUACUGCAAGCUUGAGACAACACAAGUUUAAUUAAGCUUUCCACCUUAAGCAUAAGGCGGUGCCAUGAUUUGACAAUGCAAGAAGACAAAAAUAGUUAGGGCUGGCAAAUCCUCCCGAGACAAACCAGCCAACCGAGUACCAACCGAACCGAAAAUGUUGGUUACCGAAAAUGUCGGCUACCGAAGUAUUGGUACGGUAGUGCCGAACCGAGAGGAACAUAUUGGUACGGUACUGGUAUUGAUUUGAAGAUAAAUACGGUAUACCGUACCGUACCGUAUAUUAUAUAUAUUUAAAUAUAUUUUAUAUCUAUCGAUCUAAACCGUUGAUUAUUAAUAGUUUUAUUUCAUAUUAAAUUAUAACCGUCGAUUAGACUAUAACCCAGACUGCUCAGCCACUCUUUCCCUCAGCCCCUCGAGGCCUCGAAGGCUUGAGGCUCGAACCGAGCCCUUUCUCUCAAACUCAAUCACUCAAACCCUCUCCGGCUCUCGAUUCGAUUCAAACCCAGAACUCUUCGAUUCGAUUCGAGGCCUCGAAGGCUUGAAGUUCGAUUCGAUAAAAGCUUCAAACCCAGAAAAUCUUGUAUCUAAUCAGAGAUUCAUGGCCUACGGCCGAAGUUCGAUUCGAUUCUAACCUAGAACUCUUCGCCUCUCGACCUCUCCUUUGAAGUUCGAUUCGAUUCAAAGCUUCAAACCCAGAAAUCUCGUAUCAAUUCAUUCGAUUCAUGGCCUACGGCCGUUAAUCACUUAAUCU
Long non-coding RNA from Rosa rugosa (rugosa rose), 2126 nucleotides. RefSeq lists it as uncharacterized. The record is from RefSeq and is a predicted model, not a curated record. The transcript is spliced from 11 exons. NCBI's taxonomy places the organism in Eukaryota, Viridiplantae, Streptophyta, Magnoliopsida, Rosales, Rosaceae.